UACAGAGGGGGCAAGCGUUAUUCGGAAUUAUUGGGCGUAAAGGGCGCGUAGGCGGCUUGGCAAGUGGAAGGUGAAAUCCCUCGGCUUAACCGAGGAACUGCCCUCCAAACUGCUUCGCUUGAGACCAGGAGAGGUGAGUGGAAUUCCCAGUGUAGCGGUGAAAUGCGUAGAUAUCUGGAGGAACACCGGUGGCGAAGGCGGCAUCCUGGACCGGCAUUGACGCUGAGGCGCGAAAGCUAGGGGAGCAAACGGG
This 253-nucleotide ribosomal RNA is filed under the name uncultured bacterium. Its description in RNAcentral is "partial 16S ribosomal RNA". It matches the Rfam family "Bacterial small subunit ribosomal RNA", at positions 524 to 776 of the family's 1533-position model. The record is from RNAcentral.